CAGGCCUAACACAUGCAAGUCGAACGGGGUAGCAAUACCUAGUGGCGCACGGGUGAGUAACGCGUGGAUAAUCUGCCUUAGAGUGGGGGAUAACUAGUCGAAAGAUUAGCUAAUACCGCAUAAGACCACAAGAGCUGCGGCUCAAGGGGUCAAAGGUUUUUCGCUCUAAGAUGAGUCCGCGUAAGAUUAGCUAGUUGGUGAGGUAAUGGCUCACCAAGGCGACGAUCUUUAACUGGUCUGAGAGGAUGAUCAGUCACACUGGAACUGAGACACGGUCCAGACUCCUACGGGAGGCAGCAGUAGGGAAUAUUGCACAAUGGAGGAAACUCUGAUGCAGCGACGCCGCGUGAGUGAUGAAGGCCUUCGGGUCGUAAAGCUCUGUCGCAGGGGAAUAACACAAUGAAUGUACCCUGUAAGAAAGGAUCGGCUAACUUCGUGCCAGCAGCCGCGGUAAGACGAGGGAUCCUAGCGUUGUUCGGAAUCAUUGGGCGUAAAGCGGGUGUAGGUGGCUUUGUAAGUCAGGUGUGAAAGCCUAGGGCUCAACCCUAGAAGUGCAUUUGAUACUGCGAAGCUUGAGUGCUAGAGAGGUUACUAGAAUUGUUGGUGUAGUGGUGAAAUACGUAGAUAUCAACAGGAAUACCGGUGGCGAAGGCGGGUAACUGGCUAGACACUGACACUCAGACCCGAAAGCGUGGGGAUCAAACAGGAUUAGAUACCCUGGUAGUCCACGCCGUAAACGAUGGAUACUUGUUGUUGGAGGUAUUGACCCCUUCAGUGACG
RNAcentral lists this ribosomal RNA (780 nucleotides) under Bdellovibrio sp. TY. RNAcentral's name for it is "bacterial SSU rRNA". It matches the Rfam family "Bacterial small subunit ribosomal RNA", at positions 43 to 848 of the family's 1533-position model. The record is from RNAcentral. Lineage: Bacteria; Pseudomonadati; Bdellovibrionota; Bdellovibrionia; Bdellovibrionales; Pseudobdellovibrionaceae.